AUUGAACGCUGGCGGCAGGCCUAACACAUGCAAGUCGAGCGGAUGAAGGGAGCUUGCUCCUGGAUUCAGCGGCGGACGGGUGAGUAAUGCCUAGGAAUCUGCCUGGUAGUGGGGGAUAACGUCCGGAAACGGGCGCUAAUACCGCAUACGUCCUGAGGGAGAAAGUGGGGGAUCUUCGGACCUCGCGCUUGCAGAUGAGCCUAGGUCGGAUUAGCUAGUUGGUGGGGUAAAGGCCUACCAAGGCGACGAUCGGUAACUGGCCUGAGAGGGGGAUCGGUCACAUUGGGACUGAGAUACGCCCCAGACUCCUAAGGGAGGCAGCAGUGGGGAAUAUGGCACAAUGGGAGGAAGCAUGAUGCAGCAACGCCGCGUGCGGGAUGACGGCCUUCGGGUUGUAAACCGCUUUCGCCGGUGACGAAGCGUGAGUGACGGGAAUGGGUAAAGAAGCACCGGCUAACUACGUG
RNAcentral lists this ribosomal RNA (464 nucleotides) under uncultured bacterium. RNAcentral's name for it is "partial 16S ribosomal RNA". It matches the Rfam family "Bacterial small subunit ribosomal RNA", at positions 29 to 507 of the family's 1533-position model. The record is from RNAcentral.